Molecule: transfer RNA, 68 nt
Filed under: Bajacalifornia megalops (bigeye smooth-head)
Lineage: Eukaryota; Metazoa; Chordata; Actinopteri; Alepocephaliformes; Alepocephalidae
Description: tRNA-Phe
Rfam family: tRNA
About the family: Transfer RNA (tRNA) molecules are approximately 80 nucleotides in length. Their secondary structure includes four short double-helical elements and three loops (D, anti-codon, and T loops). Further hydrogen bonds mediate the characteristic L-shaped molecular structure. tRNAs have two regions of fundamental functional importance: the anti-codon, which is responsible for specific mRNA codon recognition, and the 3' end, to which the tRNAs corresponding amino acid is attached (by aminoacyl-tRNA synthetases). tRNAs cope with the degeneracy of the genetic code in two manners: having more than one tRNA (with a specific anti-codon) for a particular amino acid; and 'wobble' base-pairing, i.e. permitting non-standard base-pairing at the 3rd anti-codon position.
Source: RNAcentral
GCUCGCGUAGCUUAGGCAAAGCGUAACACUGAAAAUGUUAAGAUGGGACCUCAAAAGCCCCGCAGGCA